CAAAGAGAGAGAAGAGAGAGUAGAAAAAGGAAAGCUAUGGAAGACACUAACUCCAUCGCCAACAAUGUCGCCCAAGCUAUUGCCACUGCCCUUGAUUGGUCCUCCACUCCCGACGCUCGCAAAGCCGCCGUCUCUUUUCUCGAUUCUAUCAAGGCUGGUGAUAUUCGGAUAUUGGCAAACACGUCGUUCCUUUUGGUAAAAAGGAACUGGUCCUCUGAAAUCCGUUUACACGCUUUUAAAAUGCUGCAGCAUUUGGUGCGAUUAAGGUGGGACGAACUAAGCUCCGCAGAGCACAAGAACUUUGCAAAUCUCUCCAUUGAUUUAAUGUCUGAGACUGCUGAUCCCUGUGAAGAUUGGGCUCUUAAAAGCCAGACGGCUGCCCUCGUUGCUGAGAUAAUUAGAAGAGAGGGGCUUAAUCUAUGGAAGGAAAUGUUUCCAUCAUUGGUUUCUCUAUCCAGCAAGGGUCCAAUACAAGCUGAAUUAGUUUCAAUGAUUCUUCGUUGGCUUCCUGAAGAUAUUACAGUUCAUAAUGAAGACUUAGAAGGUGAUCGCCGAAGGCUACUCUUGCGUGGGCUAACUGAAUCACUGCCUGAAAUUUUGCCUCUCCUAUACACUUUACUGGAAACACACUUUGCAGCUGCACUAAAUGAAGCUGGUAGAAACCAGAUGGAAAUUGCCAAACUGCAUGCUGCUACUGUAACAGCUACACUAAAUGCAAUAAAUGCAUAUGCUGAGUGGGCUCCAUUGUCCGAUCUUGCCGAUGCUGGCAUCAUUAAUGGAUGUGGUUUCCUACUAUCUGCUCCUGAUUUUCGACUUCAUGCUUGUGAGUUUUUCAAACUUGUCUCCCCAAGGAAGAGGCCCAUCGAUGCUUCUGCUUCUAAAUUUGACCAAGCUAUAAUUACUAUCUUUCAAAUCUUGAUGAACAUAUCUAGAGAGUUUUUGUACAGAUCUGGCUCAAAUCCAGGAUCUAUAGAUGAGGGUGAAUAUGAAUUCGUGGAAUUUAUAUGUGAAAAUAUGGUGUCACUAGGCGCUUCUAACUUGCAAAGUAUUGCUGGAGAUAGCAGCAUACUUCCUUUCUAUCUUGAACAGAUGCUGGGGUUUUUCCGACAUUUCAAGUUUGCCAUUCAUUUCCAAUCCGUGCACUUCUGGCUGGUGCUAAUGAGGGAUUUAAUGUCAAAACCAAAAAGUUCCUCGCAUUCAGCCGUUAGUAGUUCAGGUUCUGGAGAUGCUGAAAAUGUAAAGAAAAAGAUUCUAAGCUUUGUGAAUGAUGAUUUCUGUGGUGCAAUUUUGGAAACAUCUUUCCCUCACAUGCUCAAGAGAGAGAAAAUCCUACCCGAUACUGCACUGUCUUUAGGGGUGUUGGAGUUGUGGAGUGAUGACUUUGAGGGGAAGGGUGAAUUCAGCCAAUAUCGCUCUAGGCUGUUGGAGUUGAUUAGGUUCGUUUCCUCUUGCAAACCCUUGGUGGCAGCUGCUAAAGUUUCCGAAAAAAUUGAUGCAAUCAUCAAGAGUCUCUUGGUUUCACCAACUCAAACUCAGGACUUAGCAUUGAUGGAAAGCAUGCAGUUGAUUUUAGAGAAUAUUGUGAGUACAGUUUUUGAUGAAUCCAAUGAUUUUGCCAAGGCAAAUGCUGAAAUGCAGUUUGCAUUACGAAGAACAUUUGACGGUUUACUUCAGCAAUUUCUUUCAUUGAAAUGGACGGAACCCGCACUUGUGGAAGUACUUGGUCACUAUUUGGAUGCAAUGGGCCCUUUCUUGAAGUAUUCCUCAGAUGCAGUUGGCAGUGUUAUCAAUAAACUUUUUGAACUCCUCACAUCCCUUCCCAUUGCAGUCAAGGAUACUUCGACUUCUAGUGCACGGCGUGCAAGGUUGCAGAUUUGUACAUCAUUUAUUCGGAUAGCCAAAACAGCUGAUAAAAGUAUCCUGCCUCAUAUGAAGGGCAUUGCCAAUACCAUUGGAUGUUUGCAAAGGGAAGGUUGUUUGCUUCGAGGAGAGCAUAAUCUUCUAGGUGAAGCUUUUCUUGUGAUGGCUUCUGUUGCUGGGAUUCAACAGCAGCAAGAAGUUUUAGCAUGGUUAUUGGAACCUUUGAGCCAAGAGUGGACACAUUCGGAAUGGCAGGAUAAGUAUUUAUCUGAACCAUAUGGCCUGGUUUACUUGUUCUCAGAAGCACAAGUUAUGUGGUCAAGUUUUCACAGUGUGACAUUCUUUGAGAAGGCACUUAAGAGGAGUGGAAUCAAGAAAGCUAAUUGGAAUCCUGAAAACAGCUCAACACCGGAUUCAACUCCUAUAAAUCCAAUAUCCCCCCAUGUGUCAUGGAUGCUGACUCCUCUGUUGAAACUACUUCGCACUAUACAUUCCCUUUGGUCUCCAUCUGUACGUCAAACUUUACCUGGAGAGAUCCAAGCUGCAAUGAUCAUGAGUGAUGUUGAAAGGUUCACUCUUCUUGGAGAAGGGAACCCCAAGGUUCCAAAGGGUUCGUUGGCUAAUGUUGACAAGAGUAAGGAAGGAUAUGCUGAACCUAAUGAAUCAGAUAUACGAAAUUGGCUAAAAGGAAUCAGAGACAGCGGAUAUAAUGUAUUGGGUUUGUCCACAACAAUUGGGGAUUCCUUUUUCAAAACUUUGGAUGUGCAUUCUGUUGCGUUUGCACUAAUGGAGAACAUACAGUCGAUGGAGUUCAGGCAUAUAAGGCAGCUUGUUCAUUCCGUUUUGAUACCUUUGGUUAAGCAUUGCCCUUUGAAUAUGUGGGAGACUUGGCUAGAAAAGCUUCUGCACCCAUUAUUUGUCCAUGCUCAGCAGGCGCUCAGCUGUUCAUGGUCAUGUCUUCUACAAGACGGUAGAGCAAAGGUUCCAGAUGUUAUUGAAAUUAUUAGUGGAUCAGACCUAAAAGUGGAGGUGAUGGAGGAAAAGCUUCUGAGAGAUCUCACACGAGAGAUAUGUUCACUUCUCUCUGUAAUUGCUUCUCCUCCCCUUAAUCCUGGAAUCCCUUCUUUGGAACAGUCUGGGCACGUUAGUCGAUUAGACACGUCUUCACUGAAAAGCUUGGACACAUUUGCAUCAAGCUCUAUGGUUGGUUUCCUUCUGAAGCAUGGUUUGGCUCUUCCAACGCUACGCAUGUGUUUAGAGGCUUUUACAUGGACGGAUGGUGAAGCUGUGACAAAGAUUUCUUCUUAUUGCUCUGUGUUGGUAGCUCUUUCGAUUGUAACAAAUCAUUCAGAACUAGUGGAAUUUGUCUCCAGAGAUCUCUUUUCUUCAAUUAUUCAAGGCUUAGCCCUUGAAUCAAAUGCAAUAAUCAGUGCUGAUCUAAUUGGUCUCUGCCGUGAAAUAUUUGUGUAUCUUUGUGAUAGACACCCGGCUCCCCGGCAGGUUUUAAUGUCUCUGCCCUCUAUUACCCCUCACGACUUGCUUGCUUUUGAGGAAUCUCUAACAAAAACAUUGAGUCCAAAGGAGCAAAAGCAGCACAUGAAAAGCUUGCUUAUCUUAGCAAGUGGUAACAAAUUGAAAGCACUUGCAGCUCAGAAAAGCGUGAACAUCAUUACAAACGUUUCAACAAGACCACGCAGCUCAGGCAAUGCUUCUGAAUCCAGAGUUGAUGAUGGAGAACCUUUGGGAUUGGCUGCCAUAAUGUAAAAUAUUCCGAGCUCAAGGAAGGUUUUGUGUACAGGGCAUGAUCGUGAAGAAAUGAAACCCGUCAUUAGGGAGUGUCCUAUUUUCUGAUAUUGGGGAGGGAAACAUAACCAAUAUGAUAAUGCAUAUAAUUUCAUAUAGUUCAACAAUUUACUUUUUGUUUAAAUAAUUCAAAGCCAAUCUUUACGAAAUAUCAAAAAUUGUAAUUAUUAUUGAGUAAUAACCUUCAACUUAAGCAUAUGAUAAACAAGAUGGGGAGGGAGAAGCUAGUUUGAAAGUAAGGUUGAACUUGAGUUGAAUAUUAGGUGCGGGAACAAGAUAAAUAGGUGCUUCGAGGCUAAGCUAACUAAUUUAGUGUUCUAUAAAAAUCCCAAAGGAAUCCUCUCUCACUUGCAAGUUGCAACUCUGCCUCUUGGUUUCAUACAUCUUUUCAUAGAGUUUUCUUCUUUUUGUUGGUGUUGAGAUUUUCAGAGUCUUGAUUCUUGAAGGCUCUCAAAAUCAAAGCCUUGCCCUUUUUCUUAGGUUCAGAGUCUUGCAUUUUAUUUGAUUUAAGAUUCCCGCAUAGAAAUAUGGGGCCAGGCGGUCCAGGCCCAGGAGGCCCAGGUCCUCCUGGUUGGGGUCCACCAGGCCCGCCAGGCUUAGGACUCUUCGGUGGCUUUUGCGAUAUUAUUGGUUCUUGCCUGAGCUGUUUGUGCUGCUGCUGGUUGUUUCAAGAUUGCUUAGGGGGUCCAUUUGGCCCACCUGGGCCUGCUGGGCCUCCCGGCCCUCCAUGAGCUUCCCAGGUUCAAGACGCCGCCGCCUUCUUUUCGUUACCAGAAACGAUCUUGUAUUAGAUUGAGUUUGGUCUCUCUGGGUCUCAACGGAGGAAGAACAAGAAUAAUUAUUAUUUAGCUUGUGUUAUGUUAUGUAAUAACUAAUUUCGGUUCUGCCAUAUUAUACGAAUGCAUAUUCACUUGAUAUUGUAUUAUGUUACAGAGACAUUUGAAUAAAUAAAUAAAUCUGAUUAUAUAUUUA
This is a non-coding RNA of Arachis ipaensis, 4635 nucleotides long. The record is from RefSeq and is a predicted model, not a curated record. Lineage: Eukaryota; Viridiplantae; Streptophyta; Magnoliopsida; Fabales; Fabaceae.